Long non-coding RNA from Polyodon spathula (Mississippi paddlefish), 934 nucleotides. RefSeq lists it as uncharacterized. The transcript is spliced from 3 exons. The record is from RefSeq and is a predicted model, not a curated record. NCBI's taxonomy places the organism in Eukaryota, Metazoa, Chordata, Actinopteri, Acipenseriformes, Polyodontidae.
UUGAGUAAGGGCUAGCUCUUCUUAAUUCAACAAAUAUACACUGCCCUGUGACAGGGACAGCCUGUUCAACUGGCGGGUUUCAUCAUAACAUGUGAGACAGCCACAACAACAAGAUAUACAAUCAGCUGCUCUGUAAACAUCAUUCUGGGAUCUGAGACAGGACUAUCAACAAGCUACCGAGUAUUUUAUACAACCCUGGAUGAGGUUAGCACUGGAGAUAAAGCCAUCGAUGCUCUGUGCUUCUGAAUAAGUAAAGGUAGAAUUGAAUGCUUUCUCAGUCCAGAGGCACUAAGACCUAACUUGAACCUACCUUCAACUAGUGUGGAAAUUGAGAAAAAAAAAGUUAUAUUUAUCAAAACAAUCAUGGAAUAUUGCCUUAUGUUGCAUGCAAGGCCACUACAAGUGCAAUAUUUCACAGCACACAAUUGUGUAUGCAAGAUGGAAUCAUGAAGCAUAAUAUGUAAGAGUUGCUGUCACUUAUCUACUGAAACACUGGUUAUUUCUGCUUAAAAAGGGAUUCUAAAUUACAACAAAGAAAUUAUUCAUGCAUAUGACUGAAAGAAUACUUAUCACUCGUUGAGGAAAAUGCACAUUUGCUGUUGGAAAUGUAAAAGAAUGCAUGAACGUAUUUAACCUGUAGCAUUCCCACAGAAAACUGCAUUGAUUUCUGAGGAUGGUGUGACUUCUCUCACCAGUUCCCAGCACAAGCAAGUUCUGCAUGAGUACUUAUUUCCAGACUAAAAAAUACCAGAACGAGACUGACAGGUUUGUCCUAGUAUACGACUAUGACAUCAAAUGAAAAUCCCUCCAAUUGCAUAGAAGCUUUUAACCAAUAUUACAUGUAUAAUUAUUAACCUUGACAAAAAACACAUUUACUGUGGCUAAAAAAAGUGAAAUGUACAGGUAUACAUUUUGGAGAGAAGAAUUUGAAAGG